This 6662-nucleotide long non-coding RNA is filed under the name Zostera marina. Its description in RNAcentral is "long non-coding RNA (ZMAR_LNC003296)". The record is from RNAcentral. Lineage: Eukaryota; Viridiplantae; Streptophyta; Magnoliopsida; Alismatales; Zosteraceae.
UCAGAAUGCUAUUUUUUUUCAUCUUUCUCUCACACAGACACUCUCUCCUACCGUCUAAAAUGUCAGAUUUUUUUUCUCUCUUACAAUUUUUCUCUUCCUCCGUCUUCUGUGAGAACCAUUUUUUCUCUUCUUUUCUCUCACAAUCUCUCUCUCUCUUCGUCUGGUGUCAGGUACCGAUUUUUUUCCCUCUCUCACGAACUCUCUCUCCAUACGUCUUUGUUGUCAUAUUUGGAUUUUUUUUUAUCUUUCUCUCACAAUUUUUCUUUCUCCUACGUCGUUUGUUAAUUAAUUUCUUCUUCUUCUCUCUCUCUCUCCGCCACACCAGGCAGGAGGAAAGGAGCGAUAGGCACGCGACAAGGAACGACAAGCGGGAUAAGGAAACGACAGUUGCAGGAGAGCCAAUGAAUGAUGGUUUGGAUUUAACGAAUGAUGGUUUUAUAAUAUCAAUGAUGAACUAAGCUUUCUUAUUUAUAUGAUUGCAUUAUGACCUUUAGUAUUUUCAGCUUUGAUAUAUGAAAAAUCAGAUGUAUUUUGCUUGUCUUUGGUAGCUGAUGAAGCACGAAAUCUGCUACCAGUAGGCUUGCGGGAUUGCGAGGAGGGCCGGAGGCUUUGGAGUCCACGACGCGCGCUCUACGUCAAUGUACCUGCAGAGAAGAAGGGAGUCGGCGACUCAGGUGUGGAAGUCGGCGACUCGGGCUCCUUAGUUGCUCUGGUUGGAGUGUGUGUCAAGUGUUUGUGGAGGGGAUGUAUUUAUGAAUAAGGAUCCCCCUAGGGCCCCUUUUAUAGGGUCUUUCGGGCGUUUCUCAUUCAUUACCAAUGGGGCUCACGCUAUUAUGGUUCCCUAUUAAAGGUGCCAUAAUGGCGUGGGCCAAGUCAAGUAACGGCUGGGAGUCGGCGACUCAGGUAUGGGAGUCGGCGACUCAGGGUGAAGCCAUCGAUUCCCCAUGAGCCAGGUUGGCAGCCUACAUGAACUGACCAACGAGGCGUGGAAUCGGUGGCUCACCUCUGGAGUCGGCGACUUGGUAGUCCCAGUCGUUGAUUCCCAGUGUUGACUUGAGUAUUUGACGUAGACACUUGCCCGCAACCGUGGAUCUCUCCGGAGGUCCGGCAUAAAGCGACGGAACCCUAGUCUUUGUUGAAAGGCGUUGCUGGGAGUGACUGACGUAAUCAGGCAUGUCUCACCAGUAGCUCUGACAGAUAAGCCAGUCUAGCUACUGAAUGUUUUUAUGACUUUGAAUAGUCCAAGUAACCCUGAAAUUAAAGAUGGACAGGAACAAUAUAUUGAAAUCCGAUGGAUAAAACGACGUGACCAUCACCCAGGGGGCGGUGUAGAUGCCCUCGAGCAACACUUGUUGAUCGACGGGAAUCUUUUGGGAUGGAGGGCCCCUAAGUUGUUGAUGUCUGAGAGACUAACUGACCCGGAGGAUUACCUACACUUAUUCCGUACAUGCAUGGACGAUAUGACAGACCUAAGGGAUAUUCGGUUCUAUAUAUUCCAGAGAAAAUAUGCAUGGUAAGGGACCACUCGAGAAGUCGGAUGGACCCUAGGUCCAAGGAUUACUCAAAGACCGUUCGAGCUAUUAGGCCAACACACCCGAAGACAAGGAAAUGUCCAGAGGGAGAGGUCGCUCGUAAAUUUGGAUGAAUCCUAGGUCCAUAGACCGAUUGAAUUUCGUACGACCUAUUGGGCCAAUACUCGAAGGCAAGGAAAUAUGCAAGGGGAGGGGCCGCUCGAAAAUCUAUACAGACCUAAGGUUCAUGAAGCCCUCGAAGGUGCUUUCGGUAGAAAAGCCAGACGGAGCAAGCCUCGUAUAUUAUUAGGGGUCCCCUCUGGGAUGGGGGCGUAGAGUGGGGAGAUUGGCGAGUAGAUCUUUUAACUUCCAAAAUGCCUUUUCGCAGGCUUCAAUCCAAACUAGUCUUUUGCCAUCCGUUUUUAGAAGAUGGAAAAAUGGGCGUAGGUGGUCUGCUCUUCUUGACAUGAAGCGGUUGAGAGUGGCUACCUUCUCGUUAAGCCUUUCUACUUUUUAUGGUUCUUGGUGGGGUCAUGAUCCUAACGGCUUCCGUUUAUUCUUUUCGUGCUUUUAUCCCAUCCGGAGUUAUCCAAAAUCCAAAGAAAUGGUUUUUUUUACCUUUAACUUCAGGCCCACCCUCCGUAUGUUAUCGAACGUUUCUUCCAGGUCUCGUAGAUGGUCUCCUAUUCUUUGUGAUCUGGCCAGUAAAUCAUCUAUAUAGACUUCAAUAUUUUUGCCGAUUUGACUUUCAAAAAUCCGAUCCAUCAAUCUCUGGAAGGUGGUCCUGGUGUUUUGGAGGCCAAACGACAUGAUUCAGAAGCAGAAGGUGCUCAUCUCGAUCACGAAUGACGUUUUUUCCUCGUUCUAUGUGAACAAGAUGGUUUUCAAUAUUCUUAUCCUCUUUCCCUCGGUUUUCCAAGUUAGGUCUGAUGCGUACGUACCUGGAAUGCCUCUCCCCUAGAUAUGGCCAAUAUCUUGUCCAUUUGUUCCUCUUGAGGCUCUUGUUUUGGGACCUUGUGCCCUGUUGGGAUGAUCGACCACCGUUCUUCCUAUCUAAGUGUAUGAUGGUGGUAGGGCAUUGGACGUUGAUCUCAAUCUAAUCAGCAGUUUGUCCAAGUCUAAGCAUUCUGUCAUUGUGCGGCCUCGAUCUUCGUGGUACUCAUAAUACUGAUUGUUAUCUAAUAAUUCUAUAGAAGACAAAAACUAGAGUUUAAGGAUUGAGAUAACAUUGAAGUGUUGAGAUAACACUGUUUUCUCACGACCAAUAAAUAAAAUAGUCACUGAUAUUUCCGUGGUCCUCGUUAUUUCUAUAAGAUGAUGAAUCAAUUAACCAAAUUGUAUCUGAUAUUCGUCUGAGUAUUAUAUACUUAUAGCUAUAGAUUACAUACUGUUAUAACCAAUUAUUAUCUAAAUAAUCCAUAGUUGCCUUAACUAAUUAUGCCAGCAGUGGAGCCACGUGGAUUCUCCAACACACCCCUUUCAUCCUUCAUAGAGUCCCACUGGAGCUUCGUCGACGAUAUUUUCUUGUAGGAUAGAAAAUCUUCUAAGUGGCAGUGGCUUGGUCAAAAUGUCCGCUCACUGCUCACGCCCGGGAAUGUGCUUAACGAUAAUGUCUCCGCUUUGUACCUUCUUGGGGAUGAAGUAGAGAUCAAGAGCUACAUAUGUUUGAGCUUUAUAUGCCCGAUUGGAUUUUUCGCAAUGAAAGUAGCUUCUAAGUUAUCCGAUAGACUCACCAUAGGUCGCGGCACCUCUACCCCCAACUCAAUCAGUGCUGAGCAAACCGCUUCUAUCUCCUGAGUCGUAGUGGCUAUCGCACGGUACUCGGCCUCCGUACUUGAUCGAGCCAGUGUGCUCUGUUUCCGAGAUACCCAUGAUACUAACGUUCCUCCCACGUACACUAAGAAUCCCGUGCGAUUUUUACGAUCGACCGUGUCCUCUCCCCAGUCGGCGUCACAAUACGCUGUGAUCCCGAAAUCGUUGACCCACCGUAGUACGAUCCCGUGCCUUUGAGUUCUGAAUAGGUAACACAAAACGCGCUUUACAACCACCCAAUGUACCAUCGUUGGUUCUGUCAUAAACUGGGCGAGCCGAUUAACCACAACCUGGACUUCCGGCCUUGUUAGAGUAAUGAAUUGUAACGACCCUAUAAUCCAUUGAAAUUCACCAGGGUCGUCGAUAACAGGUUCGUCUAAGCGAAGCUCGAUAUCUGCAAGCAUUGGAGUGGAGACGGCCUUCAGUUCCCCUAUGUUACAACUCCGGAGAAGAUUCAGAAGAUACUGGUUUGUGAUAAAUGUAACCCAUCCUUGACGUGCCUGACCUGGAUGCCAAGAAAAUAUUCCAGAGUACCUAGGUCGCGUAUGGAAAAUUUCGCGCCCAAUCUGUUUAUCACCUUCUUGACUUCUUCUUCAUUCGAUCCCACUAUUACUAUAUCGUCGACAUAGACGAACAAAAACAUUGUGAUUGAACUUUUCUGAUAAUUGAAUAACGAAGGAUCAACUGCAGAUUCCUUGAACGACAAUGUUCCCAAGAACCCACUCAAUUUUUGGAACCAACACCUCGGUGAUUGUUUAAGUCCAUACAGAGACUUAUAAAGGAGGCAGACCUUAUCAAGAUUUUGGUUAUCGAUAAACCCAUACGGUUGUGAAACAACAAUUCUCUCCUUGAGGUUGUCGUGUAGAAAAGCGUUUGACACAUCGACUUAAUGAAGCACCCAUCCUCUGGAUAUUGCCAAUAGUAACACCAGUCGAAUCGACAACGGACGAACAACCGGACUAAAAGUAUCAAAGUAGUCCACGCAGUGAAUCUGUCGUAACCCAUUAGCAACCAAACGCGCCUUGAAUCAUUAUACUGUUCUUUCUACCUUGGAUUUAACUUUAAACACCCACUUGGUGUUAAUUAUAUUGUCUUCUGGUAGACGCGGUACUAGGGUCCAUGUUUCAUUUUCUUGGAGUGCGUUGUAUUCUUUUACCAUGGCGUCCUUCCAUUGAGGAACAAGGAGAGCCGAUUUUGCAGACUUCGAGAUUGAAACCUCAUAUGUCGUUGUUGCCAAGGCGAACUUCGGAUUGGGUUUAAAGAUCCCAACGGAACUUCUGGUGACCAUAGCAGUACGCUGGUUCGAUGAUCAUCAGAUUCUUCAAAGUCAUUCUCAUUCAUCGGAAGAUCAGUAGCCACGGAGUACGAGUCCAGCUCAGCUGAUAUUCCCGUCAAUCGGUCAGGCACGUGUACCAAGUGUAAAAACCCUCAUGAAAUUAAAGUUAAAAAAAAAAAUAAAUAAAUAAAUAAAUAAAUAAAAGGAGUCUUGUUGGGUAAAUAUGUACUAAGGCCAAUUAAGCCAUUAAAUCAAGAUGUGGGGACAUGAGCCCUAAUUAAACUAUUAUAUAAUGGGAAGAUGUAGAGGUCUAGGAGGAGAGGAACGGAUGAGAAGGAAAAGAAGAGAAGAGAAAAGAAAAGAAGGAAAGGAAAUAAACCAAUCGAUCUUAAGGGGAGAUUUCGAUCUUGGUGUGGAGGAUGUGAGCUGAUCAAUAAGGUAUGGGUUUAGAAUAUGUUCUUAUGAUUUUCUGUAAAUCUUUGGGGUUUAAGUAGUAUGAUUCUAUUGAUAGAUAGAAAUAGAAACAUGAUUAGGUUAUGUGUUACAUGAAAUAGUUCAACAAGUGAUACAUAUAUAUCCAUUGAAGAUGGGAUGGAUUGAUAGGUGGAUUAGAGUAUGACCAUUUCUGAAAAAUCUGAUGAUAUUCAGAUAUUGGAGUUGGGUCCUUUCUACUGUUUGGUGUUGCAUUUUAUUUAGAAUUAAAUUUGCUGGAUUUAAUCUAAUUCUAUCAAAUUUUCAGAGAUUUGAAGGUGGGUGUUGUUGUCAUAAUUUUAAAGAUUUUAGAUAUUUUAUGAUUGAUUUCAUAACUAAUUCUUCGAAGAUUCCGUAGUAUUAUUAUCUUAUCUUUGUGAUUGAGAUUGAUUGUGAUUGUUCUCGAGUAUUGUCAUUUAUUCUGAUUUGAUUUUUAUUUUGAAUCGCUUAUUUUUUAAAAGUAUUCCACAGUUGUCGGGAGUAUUAUUAUGUGAUGAUUUAAUCCAAAAUAUUGUGAGUUUGUACUGUUUUGAGAAGGGCGAGUGAAGUAUUUUUUUUGGAUUUUAUUUGACAUUGAAUGAGGGAUUAGGGAGUCAUGAGUAUGAGUUUUCUCGGUCUUUAUAUUUUAUGUUUUCAUCGGUAAAAAUUCUGUUUUGAUGUUAAGUUCGAAGAAUGACGAUGUUGAAUGAUAUUAUGAAGGUCUAUAAAAUGGUAUGAGAAGCACGAUAUGACAUGCCACGAAUCUCAUGAUGAGAUAAACAAUAUGACAAGAAUUAGGCUACAAAUAGUCGUUAAAUAGUUUGUUUGAUUGUAGUUAUUGAUAUUUUUAUGAUUGUUUAUAGGUGAUAAGAAUGAAUACUGGUAUAUUAUUCCUUAUGUGAAAUCAUAGAUACAGAUUUCCAUACUGAGUCAGUUGAGACUCACCCAUUUUGCUUUGCUAUGUUGUAUCGUGUUAUAAAAUUUAUAGGAUGGGGAGGUUGAUGAAGCCACGUUGAAUGGAUACAGGAGGGUGGAGCAUAGUUAACAUCAUGAGUAGUGGUGCUUCAUCUUGAUGAAUAUUAUGAACUCCGUUGGUGCAUGUUUAUUAUUUAUAACAAUAUUCUAGAGUCUUACUAGUAAAUGAUGGUGUUCUGGACUUUAUUCACAAAUUUUGAACUUUUAUUUUAUUGACAUAUUAUUAUGUUGAUUCUCGACAUUAGGAAAAGUACAACAUGUUUGUUUGUUUUCACCUGAUGGUUUAAAUGUUCAGAUUGAUAUUAUUAACAUCCCAUGUUACACCAAGUCAUCUUAUCGUAAGAGGAUGUUACACCAAGUCAUUCUGAUUUUGACUUUUUGUUAUCUCAUGUUGGCUUAUCCCAGUAGGUGAACUGUUGUUAUCGGUCUGGUCAGACUCCAUGCUAUUACCUUGGAUUGAUUCCACCGAAACCGUUAUUGGUAAAAUCCCCAAAUCAGGUAUUAUUUUCACCCAAAUUAAUUUUUGUAGAAAUAUCAUCUCGGUCCCCAAAUACUUCUUUGUUUAAGGAAAAGUCCUCCUCGCCAAACUUGACGUCCCGAGAAGCGUAAAUCCUCCGGCUGAUCGGCUAAAAAAAUAG